Molecule: non-coding RNA, 109 nt
Organism: Acanthosepion pharaonis
Lineage: Eukaryota; Metazoa; Mollusca; Cephalopoda; Sepiida; Sepiidae
Source: the annotation of a GenBank genome assembly
AGCCACAUCCUGUUGAAAUGCUGGUUCCUGUACGAUCACUGAAGUUAAGCAAUGUUGAGCCUGGUCAGUACCUAGAUGGAUGAUCACUUGGGAAUACCAAGUGCUGUAA